GUGGGGAAUCUUGCGCAAUGGGCGAAAGCCUGACGCAGCAACGCCGCGUGCGGGACGAAGGCCUUCGGGUCGUAAACCGCUUUCAGCAGGAACGAAAAUGACGGUACCUGCAGAAGAAGGUCCGGCUAACUACGUGCCAGCAGCCGCGGUAAUACGUAGGGGCCGAGCGUUGUCCGGAUUCAUUGGGCGUAAAGAGCUCGUAGGCGGUCGCGUAAGUCGGGUGUGAAAUCUCCGGGCUCAACCCGGAGGGGCCACCCGAUACUGCUCGACUCGAGUCCGGUAGGGGAGUGGGGAAUUCCUGGUGUAGCGGUGAAAUGCGCAGAUAUCAGGAGGAACACCGGUGGCGAAGGCGCCACUCUGGGCCGGUACUGACGCUGAGGAGCGAAAGCGUGGGGAGCAAACAGGAUUAGAAACCCCAGUAGUCC
RNAcentral lists this ribosomal RNA (425 nucleotides) under uncultured bacterium. RNAcentral describes it as "bacterial SSU rRNA". It matches the Rfam family "Bacterial small subunit ribosomal RNA", at positions 354 to 796 of the family's 1533-position model. The record is from RNAcentral.